Long non-coding RNA from Solanum lycopersicum (tomato), 1825 nucleotides. RefSeq lists it as uncharacterized. The record is from RefSeq and is a predicted model, not a curated record. NCBI's taxonomy places the organism in Eukaryota, Viridiplantae, Streptophyta, Magnoliopsida, Solanales, Solanaceae.
AUUUGCAAAUAAUCUUCAUAGUAAUAGUUUAAAUGUAUCUAUUGGAAACAUGCUCUAUCCUGAGAAGAAUUGGCAUUGGGGACAGAUUUAAAACUUGAUUUAAUCUAUAUCCACUCAUUUUCUUUUUGCAUUAUCUUUUAGGGUUCAACUUUAAAAAAGGAAAAAGUGUGGGGUCAUGGGUCUAUUUGACAUUUUAAAAACUAGUAGUAUAUUUGUCAAUGUGGGUCAAGGACUUAUUUGUUGUUUUAAAUACUUGGGAAAAUAAAAUAACACUACAAAAUCUAUUAUAAUCUCAAAUAUAUUUUUUAAAAUAUUAUAUUCUGAUAAAAUAUUAUUACAUCACUACAAUCAAGGCGCCUCUCACAUUUCUUCUUCUCCAAGUGCAACGUCCCAUCCCGCUUUUCAUUUCAUCUUUCCCAUACACCCUCUUCCAGUAUAAUCAUACACUACUCUUCCCCAUAUACUUCUCUCCCCCCCCCCCCCCCAAGUUAACUUAAACAAACGUUUCUCACUUAUCAUCUUUCUCAAAUUACGUGUCUCUCUUAUCAUCUUCCUCAAAUCGUGAUUUGUUUUUCUCACGUCAGGUUCAAAGCUUUAAUCUUUGGUUUGGAUAUAUGAAGCUUUUUCAUAUCUUGAAAAGUAUGCUGGGAAGUCCUUGGAUACUCCACUGCCCAUUCUCCGUAUACUAAAAUGGCACACAUCAAAGAGCGAAGAUGUAGUUGUAGGUGAUCCAUCCAAGUAUAAGGGGAGAAGUACGAAGAAUUACAUGAAAAUAUUUAAGCCAUAUACGGAUGAAGUGAAGGUCUAAUCAUCGAUGUAUUGAAGGCCCAAUUGAAAAGUGUGACAAUCCUCAUUGAAGGUGAUGAACAUUUGGGUGAUCACAAUGUACAUUGUGUGAAUUCUCUUUCUAAUAGACAGAAAAAUGUACAGAGUACUUCUAAUGAUGGGAAUUUGGAAAAUCUGAGUGAUCGUGUCUUAUACCUUGAGCAAUCAAUGGUUGAAGUCGUUGCAUAUGUAAGGGCAGAAAAGUUGAGGAGAAUUGAAAAGAAUAAACCAAAAAAACAAGAAAAAAGACCUUGCAGUAGUUGAUGAAGACUUUGCUGCAAUUGAUGAAUACUUUACGAAUGGAGUUGAUGAAGUGACAGUUGAUGGUGUGGCAAUCGAUAAAGUGACAAGUGAUGGUGUGAUAGUUGAUGAUAUUAUUGAUGAAGUGGUAUGUGUAGUUGAUGAAGUGGAAAUUAUUGAUGAAGUGGCAGGUGUUGAUGUUGCUGAUGAAGUGAAAAGUGAUGAAAUGGCAGGUGUAGUUGAUCCAAUGACAGUAAUUGAUGUUGAUGAAGUGGAAGGUGAAGUUGAUCUAGUGACAUUUUUGAUGAAGUGGCAGGUGAAGUUGAUCCAGUGUCAAUUGUAGAUGAUAUGGCAAAUGCAGUUGAUUCAAUAGUAGUUGAUGUUGUUGAUGAAGUAGCAAUCGAUAAUGUUGCAGUUAGUUAAGUGGCAGUUGUUGGUAUUGCUGAAGUGAUAACUGGUGAAGUGGCAACUGAUGUUAUUGAUGAAGUGGCAAAAGAGAAAAAGGAAGAAGAAAAAGAAGAUGACAGUGUUGAAGUGGAUGUCAUGAGUAUCAUUAUGAAACUCAAUGGUGACAUUAAUGGUGAUGAAAGUAUAUGGCAUCUUGAGACAAUGGUUUUUGUCGUUUUGCCAUUUUGUGGAUAAAAUUGAAGUGAUUUUGUGAUUUUGAAGUAUUUGUUGUUUUGUUGUUUUUGGAGAAAAUUGUACAACUGAAAGAUUAUAAAUGUUUUUGUAUAUUGUUAAUGGUGAUUUUGAGAAACAA